GACGAACGCUGGCGGCGUGCUUAACACAUGCAAGUCGAACGGAAAGGCCCCUUUGGGGGUUCUCGAGUGGCGAACGGGUGAGUAACACGUGAGUAACCUGCCCUUGACUUCGGGAAAACCUCCGGAAACUGGGGCCAAUUCCGGAUAGGAAUCCUUGCUGCAUGGUGGGGGUUGGAAAGCUUCGGCGGUUUUGGAUGGACUGGCGGCGUAUCAGCUUGUUGGUGGGGUAGUGGCUUACCAAGGCUUUGACGGGUAGCUGGCCUGAGAGGGUGAGCGGCCACACUGGGACCGAGAUGCGGCCCAGACUCCGACGAGUGGCAGCAGUGGGGAAUAUUGCACAAUGGGCGGAAGCCUGAUGCAGCAACGCCUCGUGCGGGAUGACGGCCUUCGGGUUGUAAACCGCUUUCAGCAGGGGCGAAGCUUGUGGUGACGGUACCUGCAGAAGAAGCACCGGCUAACUACGUG
RNAcentral lists this ribosomal RNA (465 nucleotides) under uncultured bacterium. RNAcentral describes it as "partial 16S ribosomal RNA". It matches the Rfam family "Bacterial small subunit ribosomal RNA", at positions 28 to 507 of the family's 1533-position model. The record is from RNAcentral.